Molecule: transfer RNA, 63 nt
Filed under: Engaewa walpolea
Lineage: Eukaryota; Metazoa; Arthropoda; Malacostraca; Decapoda; Parastacidae
Description: tRNA-Asp
Source: RNAcentral
UAAAAAUUAGUUAACUUAUAACAUAAGCUUGUCAAACUUAAGUAAUCCAAUCGAUAUUUUUAA